GAUGAACGCUGGCGGCGUGCCUAAUACAUGCAAGUCGAACGCAUAGCGAAAGGUGCUUGCACCUUUCAAGUGAGUGGCGAACGGGUGAGUAACACGUGGACAACCUGCCUCAAGGCUGGGGAUAACAUUUGGAAACAGAUGCUAAUACCGAAUAAAACUUAGUGUCGCAUGACACAAAGUUAAAAGGCGCUUCGGCGUCACCUAGAGAUGGAUCCGCGGUGCAUUAGUUAGUUGGUGGGGUAAAGGCCUACCAAGACAAUGAUGCAUAGCCGAGUUGAGAGACUGUUCGGCCCCUUUGGGACUGACACCCGCCCCAACCCCCUACGGGGGGCUGCAGUUGGGAAUCUUCCCCAAGGGGCGAAAGCCUGAUGGAGCAACGCCGCGGGGGUGAUGAAGGCUUUCGGGUCGUAAAGCACUUUUGUAUGGGAAGAACAGCUAGAAUAGGAAAUGAUUUUAGUUUGCCGGUACCAAACCAAAAAGGGACGGCUAAAUCCGU
This 496-nucleotide ribosomal RNA is filed under the name uncultured bacterium. RNAcentral describes it as "partial 16S ribosomal RNA". It matches the Rfam family "Bacterial small subunit ribosomal RNA", at positions 28 to 506 of the family's 1533-position model. The record is from RNAcentral.